AUUGAACGCUGGCGGAAUGCUUUACACAUGCAAGUCGAACGGCAGCACGGACUUCGGUCUGGUGGCGAGUGGCGAACGGGUGAGUAAUGUAUCGGAACGUGCCCAGUCGUGGGGGAUAACGUAGUGAAAAUUACGCUAAUACCGCAUACGAUCUAUGGAUGAAAGCGGGGGAUCGCAAGACCUCGCGCGAUUGGAGCGGCCGAUAUCAGAUUAGGUAGUUGGUGGGGUAAAGGCCCACCAAGCCAACGAUCUGUAGCUGGUCUGAGAGGACGACCAGCCCCACUGGAACUGAGACACCGUCCAGACUCCUACGGGAGGCAGCAGUGGGGAAUUUUGGACAAUGGGCGAAAGCCUGAUCCAGCCAUUCCGCGUGCAGGAUGAAGGCCCUCGGGUUGUAAACUGCUUUUGUACAGAACGAAAAGGUUUCUACUAAUACUAGGAGCUCAUGACGGUACUGUAAGAAUAAGCACCGGCUAACUACGUGCCAGCCGCCGCCGCUG
This 500-nucleotide ribosomal RNA is filed under the name uncultured bacterium. RNAcentral describes it as "partial 16S ribosomal RNA". It matches the Rfam family "Bacterial small subunit ribosomal RNA", at positions 30 to 523 of the family's 1533-position model. The record is from RNAcentral.